This 1918-nucleotide non-coding RNA is filed under the name Saccharomyces cerevisiae (brewer's yeast). Lineage: Eukaryota; Fungi; Ascomycota; Saccharomycetes; Saccharomycetales; Saccharomycetaceae. The record is from RNAcentral.
GACAACCGAUUUGUUUAAGUUUUCGAUCAUUGGCUGGAACGGCCUCUUAAGGUUAAUUGUAAAAGAAAAAAAGAAACAUUUUACGUGAUGUCUCAAGACGAAAAUAUUGUCAAAGCUGUUGAAGAAUCCGCAGAACCUGCUCAAGUUAUUCUUGGGGAAGAUGGUAAGCCAUUGUCCAAGAAGGCCUUGAAGAAAUUGCAGAAAGAGCAAGAGAAACAGAGAAAGAAGGAGGAAAGAGCUCUCCAGUUGGAAGCUGAAAGAGAAGCCCGUGAAAAGAAAGCCGCUGCCGAAGACACCGCAAAGGACAACUACGGUAAGUUGCCAUUGAUCCAGUCUCGUGACUCUGACAGAACUGGUCAGAAGCGUGUCAAGUUUGUUGACUUGGAUGAGGCUAAGGAUAGCGACAAAGAAGUCCUCUUCAGGGCAAGAGUCCACAACACCAGACAACAAGGUGCAACAUUGGCCUUUUUAACUUUAAGGCAACAAGCUUCCUUGAUCCAAGGUCUAGUAAAGGCCAACAAGGAAGGUACCAUCAGCAAAAACAUGGUCAAAUGGGCUGGUUCAUUGAAUUUGGAGUCCAUUGUCCUUGUCAGAGGUAUUGUCAAGAAGGUAGAUGAGCCAAUCAAGUCUGCUACUGUGCAAAACCUGGAAAUUCACAUUACCAAGAUUUAUACCAUUUCCGAGACUCCAGAAGCAUUGCCAAUCCUUUUGGAAGAUGCCUCCCGUUCCGAAGCUGAAGCUGAAGCUGCAGGUUUGCCCGUGGUCAACUUGGACACCAGAUUAGACUACCGUGUCAUUGACUUGAGAACCGUCACCAACCAAGCUAUUUUCAGGAUUCAAGCUGGUGUUUGUGAGUUGUUCAGAGAAUAUUUGGCCACAAAGAAAUUUACCGAAGUACACACACCAAAACUGUUGGGUGCACCAAGUGAAGGUGGUUCCAGUGUGUUUGAGGUGACAUACUUCAAAGGGAAGGCCUACCUAGCUCAAUCUCCACAAUUUAACAAGCAACAAUUGAUUGUGGCCGACUUUGAAAGAGUUUACGAAAUCGGGCCUGUGUUCAGGGCUGAAAACUCCAACACCCACCGUCACAUGACCGAGUUUACUGGUUUGGACAUGGAAAUGGCUUUCGAAGAACAUUACCACGAAGUUUUGGACACGUUGAGUGAGUUGUUUGUGUUUAUUUUCAGUGAAUUGCCCAAGAGAUUUGCUCAUGAAAUUGAGUUGGUACGUAAGCAAUACCCUGUUGAAGAAUUCAAGUUACCUAAAGAUGGUAAGAUGGUUCGUCUAACAUACAAAGAAGGUAUUGAAAUGCUAAGAGCUGCCGGUAAGGAAAUUGGUGAUUUUGAAGACUUGAGUACCGAAAAUGAAAAGUUCUUGGGUAAGUUGGUUCGCGACAAAUACGACACCGACUUUUACAUCCUAGACAAGUUCCCCUUGGAGAUCCGUCCCUUCUACACAAUGCCCGACCCAGCCAACCCUAAGUAUUCUAACUCGUAUGAUUUCUUCAUGAGGGGUGAAGAAAUCUUGUCCGGUGCACAACGUAUCCACGACCAUGCUCUAUUACAAGAAAGGAUGAAAGCCCAUGGUUUGUCUCCUGAGGACCCAGGUCUAAAGGACUACUGUGACGGCUUCAGCUAUGGGUGUCCUCCACACGCCGGUGGUGGUAUCGGUUUGGAAAGAGUUGUUAUGUUCUAUUUGGAUUUGAAAAAUAUCAGAAGAGCUUCAUUGUUCCCAAGAGAUCCAAAGAGAUUAAGACCAUGAAGGAGUCUCCUCCAACGUUUUUAUGUAGCGAGUGAAGGUAAAAAAAUUUUCAACAUUUCUAAUUUUUUCCUGUCACCCACUUUUAUUUUAACUGAAUUAUUAUAUUUAGCUUUACACAUAUAAGUCUCAACGUCUGACAUAUGUCACACUUUCUUUA